RNAcentral lists this long non-coding RNA (395 nucleotides) under Olea europaea (common olive). RNAcentral describes it as "long non-coding RNA (OEUR_LNC004505)". Lineage: Eukaryota; Viridiplantae; Streptophyta; Magnoliopsida; Lamiales; Oleaceae. The record is from RNAcentral.
UUUUAUAGAAGGCUAUUUUUCAUCUUUACAACUAGAGGACCUUUCAGAAAAAUACCUCCAUAUACAAACCUCAAUAAUUUUCCUCUUCCGUCAUGCCCAAAACCCUAACGACCACUUUUCCCUGCUAAACCCCAGCUCCAUUCACCCUUCUCGCGUUUCAAAUUUCUCACAUAAAAGCACAGAAAAAAAGGAAAAAUAAUAAUGGUGAGCGAAAGGCAGAAAGCGGCCAGAAAACGGUACAAAGAAGCACACCCGGAAUUGUUCCCGAAGACAGAGCCAACGCCACCAAAGGAUCCAAACAAGAAGGAGAACAAAAAGAGCAAAUUCAAGCGAAAAAAAUCUGACAAAAAUGACCCAAACAAGCUGAAGAAAUUAUCACACAAAAAACACNNNNN